UUUUCUGCACUGUCAUAAUUCAGAGUAUACCUGUACCUUCUGUCUUGAUGGCACUGCUAUAAUAGAGUCAUUUUUAUUAUUUUUUGCUUGGCCAAAAUUAAUAAUAGAAUCUCUAAACCACACUCAGCCAUACCAGGAGCCAAGAGCACCGUGUCAGGAAUGAGUUCAGCCUGUUGUGUCCGUGGGUCUGUUGGCCUUGCACUCUGAAGGAUGUUCAGAGAGGUUUUCCCAGGAGCUACCUACAGUCCAGUUCUCUACUCUUACAACAAAACAGUGGGAAAGAAAUAAAAUGCCCUCCACGUUCAGAACCCGGCAGUCACCCUGGAAUUAAUAGAAAAUUGGAAAUAUUAACAGGCUGGAACAAGCUGGGUGAGACCAGUACAUGUUUCACUCCUUGCCUGUGGUAUUUUUAUUCUUCAGUUUCCUUCGAUUCUUCAGCAGAUACCGAUGGAGGCGUCAAAUGUUUCUACAACAAGGGAUAUCCACUAGCCGUUAUGAUAAGUGCCCCAUGCGGUGCUGCAGGUGAGGGCAGAGUGGCUGGAAAGCUGCCCAGUGGAAAAGGACCUGGAGGUGCUGGUUGACAGUGGCAGAACAUGAGCCAGCAGUGUGCCCUGUGAUAUCCUGGCUUGUAUAAAAAGUAGAGUUGCCCGCAGGACCAGUGCAGGGAUUGUCUCCCUGUACUCGGCACUGGUGAGGCCACACCUCGAGUCCUGUGUCCAGUUCUCUACAAGAAAGGCACUGAGGUGCUGGAGCAGCCCAAAGAAGAGCAACAGA
Long non-coding RNA from Myiozetetes cayanensis, 774 nucleotides. RefSeq lists it as uncharacterized. The record is from RefSeq and is a predicted model, not a curated record. Lineage: Eukaryota; Metazoa; Chordata; Aves; Passeriformes; Tyrannidae. The transcript is spliced from 3 exons.